AACGAACGCUGGCGGCAUGCCUAACACAUGCCAGUCGAACGAGACCUUCGGGUCUAGUGGCGCACGGGUGCGUCACGCGAGGGAACCUGCCCUUAGGGUCGAAAUAACUCCCCGAAAGGGGUACUAAUACCGGAUAAUAUCUUCGGACCAAAGAUAUAUCGCCUUUGGUUGGGCCCGCGUUGGAUUAGAUAGUUGGUAGGGUAAAAGCCUACCAAGGCGACGAUCCAUAGCUGGUCUAGGAGGAGGAUCAGCCACCCUGGGAUUGGGACACGGCCCAGACUCCUACGGAGGCGGCAGUGGGGAAUAUUGGAAAAUGGGCGAAAGCCUGAUCCAGCACUGCCGCGUGAGUGAUGAAGGCCUGAGGGUUGUAAAGCUCUUUUACCCGGGAUGAUAAUGACAGUACCGGGAGAAUAAGCCCCGGCUAACUCCGUG
Molecule: ribosomal RNA, 432 nt
Filed under: uncultured bacterium
Lineage: Bacteria
Description: partial 16S ribosomal RNA
Rfam family: Bacterial small subunit ribosomal RNA
Source: RNAcentral